Molecule: ribosomal RNA, 253 nt
Filed under: uncultured bacterium
Lineage: Bacteria
Description: partial 16S ribosomal RNA
Rfam family: Bacterial small subunit ribosomal RNA
Source: RNAcentral
UACGGGGGGGGCAAGCGUUGUUCGGAAUUACUGAGCGUAAAGGGUGCGUAGGCGGCUUUCUAAGUCGGAUGUGAAAACUCUGGGCUCAACCCAGAGCCUGCAUCUGAAACUGGAGAGCUAGGGUUCUGGAGGGGAAAGCGGAAUUCCUGGUGUAGCGGUGAAAUGCGUAGAUAUCAGGAGGAACACCGGUGGCGAAGGCGGCUUUCUGGACAGAUACCGACGCUGAGGCACGAAAGCUAGGGGAGCAAACAGG